This 102-nucleotide microRNA precursor is filed under the name Marmota monax (woodchuck). Lineage: Eukaryota; Metazoa; Chordata; Mammalia; Rodentia; Sciuridae. The record is from RNAcentral.
AGUGGGAUAGCUGGGUCAAAUAGUGGUUCCAUUCCAAGUUUUCUAAGAAAUCUGCAUUCUGCUUUCCAGAUUGGUUGCUCAAUUUGCAAUUCCACCAGCAAU